AGUGAACGCUGGCGGUAGGCCUAACACAUGCAAGUCGAACGGCAGCACAGGAGAGCUUGCUCUCUGGGUGGCGAGUGGCGGACGGGUGAGGAAUACAUCGGAAUCUACUCUGUCGUGGGGGAUAACGUAGGGAAACUUACGCUAAUACCGCAUACGACCUACGGGUGAAAGCAGGGGAUCUUCGGACCUUGCGCGAUUGAAUGAGCCGAUGUCGGAUUAGCUAGUUGGGGGGGUAAAGGCCCACCAAGGCGACGAUCCGUGGCUGGUCUGAGGGGAAUAUCAGCCAAACUGGAACUGAGACACGGUCCAGACCCCUACGGGAGGCAGCAGUGGGGAAUAUUGGACAAUGGGCGCAAGCCUGAUCCAGCCAUACCGCGUGGGUGAAGAAGGCCUUCGGGUUGUAAAGCCCUUUUGUUGGGAAAAAAAUCCAGCUGGCUAAUACCCGGUUGGGAUGACAGUACCCAAAGAAUAAGCACCGGCUAACUUCGUGCCAGCCGCCGCGGUAA
This 506-nucleotide ribosomal RNA is filed under the name uncultured bacterium. RNAcentral describes it as "partial 16S ribosomal RNA". It matches the Rfam family "Bacterial small subunit ribosomal RNA", at positions 29 to 523 of the family's 1533-position model. The record is from RNAcentral.